This 785-nucleotide ribosomal RNA is filed under the name Bacillus sp. Schreyahn_Kolonie_Salicornia_1.1. RNAcentral's name for it is "bacterial SSU rRNA". It matches the Rfam family "Bacterial small subunit ribosomal RNA", at positions 49 to 809 of the family's 1533-position model. The record is from RNAcentral. Lineage: Bacteria; Bacillati; Bacillota; Bacilli; Caryophanales; Bacillaceae.
AUAUACAUGUCAAGCUUCGAGUCGAAUCGAUGGGAGCUUGCUCCCUGAGNAUUAGCGGCGGACGGGUGAGUAACACGUGGGCAACCUGCCUAUAAGACUGGGAUAACUUCGGGAAACCGGAGCUAAUACCGGAUACGUUCUUUUCUCGCAUGAGAGAAGAUGGAAAGACGGUUUACGCUGUCACUUAUAGAUGGGCCCGCGGCGCAUUAGCUAGUUGGUGAGGUAAUGGCUCACCAAGGCGACGAUGCGUAGCCGACCUGAGAGGGUGAUCGGCCACACUGGGACUGAGACACGGCCCAGACUCCUACGGGAGGCAGCAGUAGGGAAUCUUCCGCAAUGGACGAAAGUCUGACGGAGCAACGCCGCGUGAACGAAGAAGGCCUUCGGGUCGUAAAGUUCUGUUGUUAGGGAAGAACAAGUACCAGAGUAACUGCUGGUACCUUGACGGUACCUAACCAGAAAGCCACGGCUAACUACGUGCCAGCAGCCGCGGUAAUACGUAGGUGGCAAGCGUUGUCCGGAAUUAUUGGGCGUAAAGCGCGCGCAGGUGGUUCCUUAAGUCUGAUGUGAAAGCCCACGGCUCAACCGUGGAGGGUCAUUGGAAACUGGGGAACUCGAGUGCAGAAGAGGAAAGUGGAAUUCCAAGUGUAGCGGUGAAAUGCGUAAAGAUUUUGGAGGAACACCAGUGGCGAAAGGCGACUUUCUGGUCUGUAACUGACCCUGAGCCCCGAAGCCUUGGGGAGCAAACAGGAUAAAUACCCUGGUAGGUCCAAGGCCGUAAACAG